GUGACUCUCCUAGUAGAGAGGAAGUGUAAUAUUGACGUUUGUGACAGUGACAACAGCACAGCCUUGAUUAAGGCCUCACAAUGCCAGAAGGAGGAAUGUGCAAUUAUUCUACUCAAACAUGGUGCUAACCCAAAUAUUAAAGACUCCAGUGGCAACAGCGCUCUCCACCAUGCCAUCAUUGUGGGGAACACCUCAAUAACGGCUGCACUGCUGGCACACAGUGCAAAUACUGAUGAAAAAACCAAGGAUGGUCUCACACCAUUUAUGCUUGCUCUGAAGGAAAAUCAGCAGG
Molecule: non-coding RNA, 292 nt
Organism: Castor canadensis (American beaver)
Lineage: Eukaryota; Metazoa; Chordata; Mammalia; Rodentia; Castoridae
Source: RefSeq, a predicted model, not a curated record